RNAcentral lists this ribosomal RNA (468 nucleotides) under uncultured bacterium. Its description in RNAcentral is "partial 16S ribosomal RNA". It matches the Rfam family "Bacterial small subunit ribosomal RNA", at positions 28 to 507 of the family's 1533-position model. The record is from RNAcentral.
GACGAACGCUGGCGGCGUGCUUAACACAUGCAAGUCGAACGGAAAGGCCCUGCUUUUGUGGGGUGCUCGAGUGGCGAACGGGUGAGUAACACGUGAGUAACCUGCCCUUGACUUUGGGAUAACUUCAGGAAACUGGGGCUAAUACCGGAUAGGAGCUCCUGCUGCAUGGUGGGGGUUGGAAAGUUUCGGCGGUUGGGGAUGGACUCGCGGCUUAUCAGCUUGUUGGUGGGGUAGUGGCUUACCAAGGCUUUGACGGGUAGCCGGCCUGAGAGGGUGACCGGCCACAUUGGGACUGCGAUACGGCCCAGACUCCUACGGGAGGCAGCAGUGGGGAAUAUUGCACAAUGGGCGGAAGCCGGAUGCAGCAACGCCGCGUGCGGGAUGACGGCCUUCGGGUUGUAAACCGCUUUCGCCUGUGACGAAGCGUGAGUGACGGUAAUGGGUAAAGAAGCACCGGCUAACUACGUG